This 1372-nucleotide ribosomal RNA is filed under the name uncultured bacterium. Its description in RNAcentral is "bacterial SSU rRNA". It matches the Rfam family "Bacterial small subunit ribosomal RNA", at positions 28 to 1381 of the family's 1533-position model. The record is from RNAcentral.
GAUGAACGCUGGCGGCGUGCCUAAUACAUGCAAGUCGAGCGAACGGACGAGAAGCUUGCUUCUCUGAUGUUAGCGGCGGACGGGUGAGUAACACGUGGAUAACCUACCUAUAAGACUGGGAUAACUUCGGGAAACCGGAGCUAAUACCGGAUAAUAUUUUGAACCGCAUGGUUCAAAAGUGAAAGACGGUCUUGCUGUCACUUAUAGAUGGAUCCGCGCUGCAUUAGCUAGUUGGUAAGGUAACGGCUUACCAAGGCAACGAUGCAUAGCCGACCUGAGAGGGUGAUCGGCCACACUGGAACUGAGACACGGUCCAGACUCCUACGGGAGGCAGCAGUAGGGAAUCUUCCGCAAUGGGCGAAAGCCUGACGGAGCAACGCCGCGUGAGUGAUGAAGGUCUUCGGAUCGUAAAACUCUGUUAUUAGGGAAGAACAUAUGUGUAAGUAACUGUGCACAUCUUGACGGUACCUAAUCAGAAAGCCACGGCUAACUACGUGCCAGCAGCCGCGGUAAUACGUAGGUGGCAAGCGUUAUCCGGAAUUAUUGGGCGUAAAGCGCGCGUAGGCGGUUUUUUAAGUCUGAUGUGAAAGCCCACGGCUCAACCGUGGAGGGUCAUUGGAAACUGGAAAACUUGAGUGCAGAAGAGGAAAGUGGAAUUCCAUGUGUAGCGGUGAAAUGCGCAGAGAUAUGGAGGAACACCAGUGGCGAAGGCGACUUUCUGGUCUGUAACUGACGCUGAUGUGCGAAAGCGUGGGGAUCAAACAGGAUUAGAUACCCUGGUAGUCCACGCCGUAAACGAUGAGUGCUAAGUGUUAGGGGGUUUCCGCCCCUUAGUGCUGCAGCUAACGCAUUAAGCACUCCGCCUGGGGAGUACGACCGCAAGGUUGAAACUCAAAGGAAUUGACGGGGACCCGCACAAGCGGUGGAGCAUGUGGUUUAAUUCGAAGCAACGCGAAGAACCUUACCAAAUCUUGACAUCCUUUGACAACUCUAGAGAUAGAGCCUUCCCCUUCGGGGGACAAAGUGACAGGUGGUGCAUGGUUGUCGUCAGCUCGUGUCGUGAGAUGUUGGGUUAAGUCCCGCAACGAGCGCAACCCUUAAGCUUAGUUGCCAUCAUUAAGUUGGGCACUCUAAGUUGACUGCCGGUGACAAACCGGAGGAAGGUGGGGAUGACGUCAAAUCAUCAUGCCCCUUAUGAUUUGGGCUACACACGUGCUGCAAUGGACAAUACAAAGGGCAGCGAAACCGCGAGGUCAAGCAAAUCCCAUAAAGUUGUUCUCAGUUCGGAUUGUAGUCUGCAACUCGACUACAUGAAGCUGGAAUCGCUAGUAAUCGUAGAUCAGCAUGCUACGGUGAAUACGAUCCCGGGUCU